RNAcentral lists this ribosomal RNA (428 nucleotides) under uncultured Aequorivita sp. Its description in RNAcentral is "bacterial SSU rRNA". It matches the Rfam family "Bacterial small subunit ribosomal RNA", at positions 383 to 808 of the family's 1533-position model. The record is from RNAcentral. Lineage: Bacteria; Pseudomonadati; Bacteroidota; Flavobacteriia; Flavobacteriales; Flavobacteriaceae.
CUGAUCCAGCCAUGCCGCGUGCAGGAAGACUGCCCUAUGGGUUGUAAACUGCUUUUUUACGGGAAGAAACACCCCCACGUGUGGGGGCUUGACGGUACCGUACGAAUAAGGACCGGCUAACUCCGUGCCAGCAGCCGCGGUAAUACGGAGGGUCCGAGCGUUAUCCGGAAUCAUUGGGUUUAAAGGGUCCGUAGGCGGGCGUCUAAGUCAGUGGUGAAAUCUCGCGGCUCAACCGUGAAAUUGCCAUUGAUACUGGUCGCCUUGAAUUAGUGUGAAGUGGCUAGAAUAUGUAGUGUAGCGGUGAAAUGCUUAGAUAUUACAUAGAAUACCGAUUGCGAAGGCAGGUCACUAACACUAUAUUGACGCUGAUGGACGAAAGCGUGGGGAGCGAACAGGAUUAGAUACCCUGGUAGUCCACGCCGUAAACG